CACGUCUCUUUGCAGCAGGAUUUAAUCAGACUUUUUCUUCCAGAUUCUGUUGAUUUUAUUAAAAUUUCUUAAACAACAGAAUCGCAGAUACACAUGUAAUACAUUUGUCGACACCAACACCCACUCUCCUUUUUUGGCAUCUGGCGAGACCAGCUUUAACGUGACUGUUAAAUUGUCCAUUUGAUUGAAUAAAAAACAAAUCAAGCACACCUGCAAACCAAACACACCCUUCAAUGAUAUUCACUUUCCCAGUUAAAUUCAACAAAAACGAAUAAACAACAAUACAAAAAAAAA
RNAcentral lists this long non-coding RNA (294 nucleotides) under Mytilus galloprovincialis (Mediterranean mussel). The record is from RNAcentral. Lineage: Eukaryota; Metazoa; Mollusca; Bivalvia; Mytilida; Mytilidae.